AACGAACGCUGGCGGCAUGCCUAACACAUGCAAGUCGAACGAGACCUUCGGGUCUAGUGGCGCACGGGUGCGUAACGCGUGGGAACCUGCCCUUAGGUUCGGAAUAACUCCCCGAAAGGGGUGCUAAUACUGGAUAAUGUCUUCGGACCAAAGAUUUAUCGCCUUUGGAUGGGCCCGCGUUGGAUUAGCUAGUUGGUAGGAUAAAAGCCUACCAAGGCGACGAUCCAUAGCUGGUCUGAGAGGAUGAUCAGCCACACUGGGACUGAGACACGGCCCAGACUCCUACGGGAGGCAGCAGUGGGGAAUAUUGGACAAUGGGCGAAAGCCUGAUCCAGCAAUGCCGCGUGAGUGAUGAAGGCCUUAGGGUUGUAAAGCUCUUUUACCCGGGAUGAUAAUGACAGUACCGGGAGAAUAAGCUCCGGCUAACUCCGUG
Molecule: ribosomal RNA, 433 nt
Filed under: uncultured bacterium
Lineage: Bacteria
Description: partial 16S ribosomal RNA
Rfam family: Bacterial small subunit ribosomal RNA
Source: RNAcentral